GCGACUUCCUGUAAGCCGAGCGGCGGUGGUGUUCUGGGAGGUGCAUCGGACAUGGUGGACCUUGGGGCGGCUGUUGAUGAAGCCUCCUUCCGAAGGGGGGAGUUUACAGAGGGGCCUCGAGCAGUCGAGGUUUGUCGGUGAAUAAUGACCGGGGGAACGCGUGAGGCGGGAAACCGAGCAACGAAAACUUGGCGCUCUUCUUAGUCGGGGGAAAAG
Molecule: signal recognition particle RNA, 216 nt
Filed under: Mucochytrium quahogii
Lineage: Eukaryota; Bigyra; Thraustochytrida; Thraustochytriidae
Description: labyrinthulid quahog parasite QPX partial Metazoan signal recognition particle RNA
Rfam family: Metazoan signal recognition particle RNA
About the family: The signal recognition particle (SRP) is a universally conserved ribonucleoprotein. It is involved in the co-translational targeting of proteins to membranes.
Source: RNAcentral